GGGGAUUUAGCUCAGUGGUAGAGCGCUUGCCUAGCAACCGCAAGGCCCUGGGUUCAGUGUUCAGUCCCCA
This 70-nucleotide transfer RNA is filed under the name Rattus norvegicus (Norway rat). It matches the Rfam family "tRNA". From Rfam's summary of the family: Transfer RNA (tRNA) molecules are approximately 80 nucleotides in length. Their secondary structure includes four short double-helical elements and three loops (D, anti-codon, and T loops). The record is from Rfam by way of RNAcentral. Lineage: Eukaryota; Metazoa; Chordata; Mammalia; Rodentia; Muridae.